Macaca mulatta (Rhesus monkey) is the source of this 2244-nucleotide non-coding RNA. Lineage: Eukaryota; Metazoa; Chordata; Mammalia; Primates; Cercopithecidae. The record is from RefSeq and is a predicted model, not a curated record.
AGGCCUCCCCAGAAGCUGAUGCUGCCAUGCUUCCUGUACAGCCUACACAACCAUGAGCCAAUUAAACCUCUUUUCUUCAUAAAUUACCCAGACUCAGGUAUUUCUUUAUAGAAGUGCAAGAAUGGACUAAUACGGGUAUCUACAUGAGAAAUUAUUCUUUCCGUUUUAUUACAUCUUUCUUUCUCAGGUUUUGUCCUUCACGUAAAAGUAAUUAAAGCUGAUUAAUUUCAAAAUAAAUUAUGUACUUGAUAUAUGUUAUGCUUCUGAAUAAUUAAUCUUUAUAUUGUUUAAAGGUCAUUUUAAAUUAUUUUAAUGCUUUUAAUAAUUACUUUUUAUUCCUGUAACAAGAAAAUAUAUUUCCUCCAAAAUAUAUGUGAUUACUGGCAAGUAGCCAUUUUUCAACUUUAUGACUCACUUUAAAAACAUGUUUUUCAUAUUAUAAACCAUGCUGUUUCAUUUUUGUCUUGCUUUGAGCAGGAAUAGUGUACCGUAAAAGCUAAGAUAAAAAACAGGAGAAAUUUAGUAAGUGGCAGUCUUUAGAUGAUCUUGGCCUAUUUCAAAAUUUUUAUCUCAACCUUGUUAUAUAAUUUCACUUUAUGUGCAUAUUUGAGUUAAAAAAUAUCUUGGUAUCAGUGUUAUGUUCAUACAUUUCUUUUUAAAUUUGGUCAUGUAAAGCGUAAAAUAUAUGGAUAUUUGAGCAGUAAAAACAUUUUGAACCUUUAAUUCAACUUUUUCCACAUAAUUUUGACUGCUUUAUCUCAUAAAAGAAGGAUGUGUGUUCAUCUUAUUUUCACUAUUAAGAUAAAUCACACAAAAAAGUCAACAGUGAGCAGUUUAGAAAGUAAAGAUUCACUUAUACAUGACCUGAAGGUUGGAGAAUUACCAGGCCCCAUAUAGUUUACAUUGUCCAAAACCACCCUGAUGAGAGUUACAAGGGGAGUCAUAGGGGAAAUUCUAACUCUCAGACAAAUGUUGCAGGAAACAUUGACUGCUACUUACAGAGAGGUCCAGGAAAAAAGUAUUCCUGUAAGUUUGGAAAAGCUACACGAAUGUGUCUUUGCUUAGCAACUUACAACACCUUUGAAUACAGGAAAGACUCCUGACUUUAAAGAAAGCUACCUGAAUUUAUUAACCCCAGUAUUAACAGUCUGUAGAACAUUGUUCUUAAACAAGUUUUUAAUCCAGUGGUCCUGUAAAGACUCAAAUGUCCUAAUCCCUUUGCCAAAGUGGAGGAGUACUGUAUGUCUUCAAGAGCCCAGGAGUUCUACUAUCUAGAAAAUAUCCUCUUUCUCUGGGUCUAGAUUAUACCAGCCAAGUGAGCCUCAUGGCAGGCCCAAGUAGGACCUAUAGAACUUCCGGAUAUUUAUGAGGUUUAUAGUUUAAACCCCAAAUUGGAGUCUAACUUAGAGGAUGGGGUAAGGAAGAAACUUUACGUAGAUAAGUUUCUGAUCCUUGUGUUCCUGAAAAAAGAACACAAGUUCACUGGGAUCCACCUACAGUCCAGGCAUUGUAAAGGCUGAGGAUUUUCUUCACUUUGGUCCCUAUCUUAUUACCAUGCCACGAUGCAUAUACAAAGUAGAAACAGUCAACUCUAAUGCCAUUAUAGGGAUGAGUCUAUCACAGGAAGAGCUCUUGGUCCUGUGGCCCUGCAUUGGCCUGCCAGAGUCAACAACGAUGUCUGGGAGCUGACGUGUCUUGGCUGAAGUCAACAUUCAAGGCGAUUAUCUAGGUCACUGCAGCCUAGAGCAGCUGCGGGCUCCACUCAGGCAGGCAGCUCACAAGACUAAGCAGAUGCACCAUUCUCUAUCCAGGAUCCAUUUUUUACCUUCUUGAAGAAACCCAGAGUUUUGUUUGAGGAUUUCCCCAUUCCACACCACUCUCAGGUCAUGUGGUCUCGACAGAGCUCCAAUCCCAGCUCUAGGGAUAAGCAGGUUUUGGCUAUAAACCUCAUGUUUGACAUUGCCAGGAGCCUGACUUCUGGAUAAGUGGAUUGUUACUGUACCACGUACCUUCACAGCAUAUUCUAUUCCGACUGUGAUCAAAAUGACCGAACCACAUUUUUCCAUUAAGAGCUGUGUACCGUUGAGUAAAUGAGGUUACAUGUGUUCACUAAAGAAGUUGUUACUUCUUCCUAAUUUUAUGUCUCUUCAAAAUAUAUACCUCCCUCCUCCUUCACUCCCAAUAUUUUAUCUGUUUCAAAUCCUUUUUGGAACAGAGGUUUAAAAAAUAUACAUGUAUACCUUA